AUUCGUAUAGGAUGAGAGUUGCCCGGUAUUGGCGGCGUUGAAGCCCUGGCCUUAUGCAAUGGAACCUGUGAACCGUGUCAGGUCGGGAACGAAGCAGCACUAAGCAGUCACUUCCGUGUGCCAUGAGAGGACCCGGGUGGAGCGGCCUUUACCGGGCAGCUCUUACGAAU
Molecule: signal recognition particle RNA, 170 nt
Filed under: Lachnospiraceae bacterium
Lineage: Bacteria; Bacillati; Bacillota; Clostridia; Lachnospirales; Lachnospiraceae
Description: signal recognition particle sRNA large type
Rfam family: Bacterial large signal recognition particle RNA (bases 14-162)
About the family: The signal recognition particle (SRP) is a universally conserved ribonucleoprotein involved in the co-translational targeting of proteins to membranes. Archaeal SRP consists of a 7S RNA and homologues of the eukaryotic SRP19 and SRP54 proteins.
Source: RNAcentral